GAUGAACGCUAGCGAUAGGCUUAACACAUGCAAGUCGAGGGGCAGCACAAGGUAGCUUGCUAUCUGGGUGGCGACUGGCGCACGGGUGCGUAACGCGUAUGCAACUUGCCCUAUACAGGAGGAUAACCCGUCGAAAGACGGACUAAUACUGCGUAUGCUCACAACUUGGCAUCAAGUGGUGAGGAAAGAAAUUCGGUAUAGGAUAGGCAUGCGUCCCAUUAGCUUGUUGGUGAGGUAACGGCUCACCAAGGCAACGAUGGGUAGGGGAACUGAGAGGUUUAUCCCCCACACUGGUACUGAGACACGGGCCAGACUCCUACGGGAGGCAGCAGUGAGGAAUAUUGGUCAAUGGGCGCGAGCCUGAACCAGCCAAGUCGCGUGAAGGAUGACUGUCUUAUGGAUUGUAAACUUCUUUUAUACGGGAAUAACAAGAGUCACGUGUGACUCCCUGCAUGUACCGUAUGAAUAAGCAUCGGCUAACUCCGUG
This 487-nucleotide ribosomal RNA is filed under the name uncultured bacterium. RNAcentral describes it as "partial 16S ribosomal RNA". It matches the Rfam family "Bacterial small subunit ribosomal RNA", at positions 28 to 507 of the family's 1533-position model. The record is from RNAcentral.